Molecule: unclassified non-coding RNA, 328 nt
Filed under: plant metagenome
Description: partial contains 5.8S ribosomal RNA, internal transcribed spacer 2, and large subunit ribosomal RNA
Rfam family: 5.8S ribosomal RNA (bases 1-104)
Source: RNAcentral
GAAAUGCGAUAAGUAAUGUGAAUUGCAGAAUUCCGUGAAUCAUCGAAUCUUUGAACGCACAUUGCGCCUCUGGUAUUCCGGGGGGCAUGCCUGUCCGAGCGUCAUUGCGAACCCCUCAAGCACGGCUUGUGUGAUGGGCCCUCCCGCGUCUUGGUCGUCAAGACGGGCCCGAAAUGCAGUGGCGGCUUCGCGGUUAUCCGAUCAGCCAGAGCGUAUGGGGACUUUCUCUCUGUCACACGCCCGCGGCGCGGACCGACGCCUGUCGACCUUUAUUCAUCUUUUUCUCGGUUGACCUCGGAUCAGGUAGGGAUACCCGCUGAACUUAAGC